AACGCGAAGAACCUUACCUGGGCUCGAAAUGUAGUGGAAUCCGGUGGAAACAUCGGCGCCCAGCAAUGGGCCGCUAUAUAGGUGCUGCAUGGCUGUCGUCAGCUCGUGUCGUGAGAUGUUGGGUUAAGUCCCGCAACGAGCGCAACCCUUGUUACCAGUUGCUACCAUUUAGUUGAGCACUCUGGUGAGACCGCCUCGGAUAACGGGGAGGAAGGCGGGGAUGACGUCAAGUCCUCAUGGCCUUUAUGUCCAGGGCUACACACGUGCUACAAUGGCCGGUACAAACCGUCGCAAACCCGUGAGGGGGAGCUAAUCGGAAAAAGCCGGCCUCAGUUCGGAUUGGAGUCUGCAACUCGACUCCAUGAAGCUGGAAUCGCUAGUAAUCGCGGAUCAGAACGCCGCGGUGAAUACGUUCCCGGGCCUUGUACACACCGCGCAUA
This 440-nucleotide ribosomal RNA is filed under the name uncultured bacterium. Its description in RNAcentral is "bacterial SSU rRNA". It matches the Rfam family "Bacterial small subunit ribosomal RNA", at positions 958 to 1398 of the family's 1533-position model. The record is from RNAcentral.